ACCCAGCUGAAGAGUUCUAAAUACGACGAAACGCGAGUUCUGGAU
Non-coding RNA from Schistosoma margrebowiei, 45 nucleotides. Lineage: Eukaryota; Metazoa; Platyhelminthes; Trematoda; Strigeidida; Schistosomatidae. The record is from Rfam.